AUGUCAAUCACAUAAGGAUCUUUUUAAAUGCAGAAUCUGCCUUGGUAAGUCUGGGGCAGGGUCCAAGAUUCUGCAUUUUCUAACAAGAUCUUAGGUAAUGCCAGU
Molecule: microRNA precursor, 105 nt
Filed under: Marmota monax (woodchuck)
Lineage: Eukaryota; Metazoa; Chordata; Mammalia; Rodentia; Sciuridae
Source: RNAcentral